AGUCGGCUAGGCAGUCGCUCUGGUGUCAGCGUGUUUACUCUCUUGAGUGUAAACAGGCCCACCAGGGAGGAAAGUCCGGGCUCCACAGGGCAGAACGCCAGGUAACGCCUGGGGGGCGAGAGCCUACGGAAAGUGCAGCAGAAAGUGAACCGCCUACGUUAUUCUCACGAAUAGCCGGUAAGGGUGAAAAGGUGCGGUAAGAGCGCACCGCGCAACUGGCAACAGAUUGUGGCGAUGGUAAACCCCGUUCGGAGCAAGACCAAAUAGGCCUUCGUUGGUGCGGCCCGCACUGAAGGCGGGUAGGUUGCUUGAGGUGUCCAGUGAUGGGCAUCCCAGAUGAAUGAUUGCCCACGACAGAACCCGGCUUAUCGGCCGGCUCU
RNAcentral lists this RNase P RNA (380 nucleotides) under marine eukaryotic metagenome. RNAcentral's name for it is "Bacterial RNase P class A". It matches the Rfam family "Bacterial RNase P class A". From Rfam's summary of the family: Ribonuclease P (RNase P) is a ubiquitous endoribonuclease, found in archaea, bacteria and eukarya as well as chloroplasts and mitochondria. Its best characterised activity is the generation of mature 5'-ends of tRNAs by cleaving the 5'-leader elements of precursor-tRNAs. The record is from RNAcentral.